CUGCCCUUCAAGUGGACCACAGCUUGAAAUAGGCACCAGAACAAGACAGCAGACCUUGUGCAAUGCACUCUCCCACGGGCCUCCCAUUCCAAUUUCCCCUUUUUAAGCCUUUCUCCCCAGCCUAAAGUUUUAAGAGGUUUCUGGAGGCGUAAGGUAAGCAGCCUGCUUCCCUGCUGCUAGCUUUGGAAACAAAGUAACUUUCCUUUCACUACAGACUUCCUCCUUGUUACUGACUUUGCAAGCUGAUUCUAUUUAUGUUUAAUGAACAAAAAAAUUAGUUUCAAUGAAAACUUUAUUUGAAAUGAUGAAUUCAAGCUAUUACCAGCCUCCCAAGUAAGAUGCCAGAGACUUCAAACACUGCUGUUGUUUCUCAAGGAAAAGAUCCAGUUAACAAGGAAUCAUUCUCUCUUCUUCAAUAGCUGCUUACGAAAUAAAAACAUCAGUAGGAGGGGAAGGAGGAAGGAAGGAGAAGAAAGAGGAAGAAUAGGAGGAGAAGAGGAAGAGAGGAAGAAGUGAACAGCCCUCCUGCAUUUUGCAUCAGGUAGAAAAGUCAGUUGAAUGUUGGGAAGAACACAAAUAACGGAGUCUUGCUCUAUUGCCAGGUUGGAGUGCAGUGGCGCGAUCUCAGCUCACUGCAACCUCCGCCUCCUGGAUUCAAGCAAUUCUCCUGCUUCAGCCUCCCGAGUAGCUGAGACUACAGGUGCGUGCCACCAUGCCCAGCUAAUUUUUGUAUUUUUAGUAGAGAUGGGAUUUCACCAUGGUGGCCAGGAUGGUCUCGACAUCUUGACCUCGUGAUCCACCUGCCUGGGCCUCCCAGAGUGCUGGGAUUACAGGCGUGAGCCACCACGCCAGGCCGACAGUACCUUACAAAACUAAACAUACUCUUACCACAUGUUUCAGCAAUUGCAGUCCUUGGUACUUACCCAAAGAGAUUGAAAACAAAGAUAUGUUCAACAAAAACUUGCACACAGAUGGUUAUAGCAGCUUUGUCCAUAAUUGCCAAGACUUGGAAGAUGACUUUUAAUAGCUAAAUGGAUAAAUAACCUGUGGUACAUUCAGACAACCAAAUAUUAUGCAGUGAUAAAUAGAAAUGAGCUAGCAGAGACAUGUAAAGACAUUGAGGAAACUUAGAUAUAAGUUGUUAAGUGAAAGAAGUCAAUCCAAAAAGGCUACAUACUUUAGGACCUCUGGGGGAAGGGAGGGAUGAAUAGGUGGAGCAGAGAGGAUUUUUUUGGGUGGUGAAAGUAUUCUGUAUGAUACUGUAAUGAUGGAUAUGUGUCAUUGUGUGUUUCUCAUAACCUAUAGAAUGUAAAAUACAAAGAGUGAUCCCUAAUGUAAACUACGGUCUUAAUAAUAGUGUAUUAGUAUUGGCUCAUCAAUUGUAACAAAUGUACCAGGAGAUGUUAAUAGUAGGGGAAAUUCCUGCAAGAAUUGCCCACUCCCACCCUCUCAUUUCACAGAUGAAGUCCCGUGACCCAGAAGUGCAAAGCCAUCUGUUGCCGCUCCCAUCCUAUUGGAGACAUAGCCCUGACUCUUCCUCUGAGUUGGGGUCCAGGGCUCUUUCUCUUCCUCUAAAUAGCCACCUCAGCAGAGCCUCCUGGCAAGUAGGAUUUAGUCUACACCAGGCUUCCUGCAUGCCACUAUUUACUUUCCUAAUGAAGACAGAAAACGAGGUGUGAAGGCAGCAGCAUGUUAGAUUUUUCAGUUCUAAUGGGAAGAAUAAAAAACUCACUAUGAUGCACUAAAGAGCCAUUAGUGAAAACAGUUUUAAGUCUCUACCUCAAUUCCCAAGAAAGCUGAUGGAGAAAAACGGCAGCUUCAACAUUUGCACUUUGACUUGCCUCUCUCCAUGGGAACUUCAGAUUUCCUUCCUACAGCUAACACAAUCCUAAAUUUCUAGUGUGGCUUUCAGGGAUUACCAAAGACAGAAUGUUGAAUGCAUUGUAUGGUUUCUGUCUUCAGUCAUAGGAACCAUUCUUUGCUCUAGGAGUAGCAAUGAGAUCCAAAUCCAGGAAAUAUGGCAAUAUCUUCGAUUUACAUCAUUAGCCCUCAGUAUUAUUUUUUUUUUUGAGACUAGAAGCAGAAGGCUGCUUCAUGCCUGGCUGCCUAUCAAAAGAAGCAAUUUUCAUAAAUCUAUAGCUCUGAACAAUGAAAACGGUUCCUUUUACCUCUGCUGAAUCAGUGUCUGGAGCAUCAGGGACAGGGGAAAAGUUCUAACAUUAGCUUUUUUCUUCUACCUGCUGCUAAUCAGAGUGCAAGCAUGAAGUUGUAUUCUUCUCAGGGCCAGUAAAGCAGGGAAAGAAAUCACUAGUGCUCCUCUCCAGUCUGAAGAUCAAAUAAACAGCCUUUUUUAUCAUCCAGCUGCUAGGGGUAUGGCUUGAGCUACAGACAGCUCAUUAGAAAGAACCACAAAGUUAGAAAUUUGGCCUUUGGGGGGAAAAUGUCAUUCUUCAAAUUCCCUGUCUUGUAUUCUUUAACUAAGUACAUAUCCUUUUUAGGGGCCAGAUGGGAUGGGGAGACCUGUUUUGAACCUUAAGACAAUAAUAAGAGCUUAGAUAUUUACUGAAGGAAUGAAAUGGUUUGUCUGAAAGUUGCCCAGUUUCACAACUGUUGUUCCAUAAAACCAAAGAGAACGAUGCUUGCCACGUGGGUAAAAGCUGACUUUAGUUGACGUCUCUUCCUUCAUUCUUUUUCAGCUCACACAUCCUCCCCAUUCUCUGAGUUCCCACAAAGACUGUUAUUGCUGGGGCUCAUAAAAUUAUACUCCAAAGUAUGAUGCUUUGGCAUCCAGAGUGCUUUGAACUAUAGGAGAUUGAAGGCCCCAGAAGCCAAGUUUCCCUCUGACCUCCUGCCUCCCUGUCUCCCACCCCCUACUUUUCCCCUGAAGUGAGUCCUGGAAACCAGAAUUCUUCUUGCCCAAAGCAAGCCGUGACACCCUGGAAAUAUCACUCUAACCUUCCUUGCCUUUCCGUGUGGCAGCUGGCCAUGAAGAAAUUCUCUGACCUACCUUGUUUGAUAGCAGAUCACAAGACCCUGGUUCCAGAGCGGUCCUGCUUUACACCGAAGGAAAGGAAUGUCAUACAGAAAGGCCAAGAAGAAUCUGAAGAGAUGUCCAAUCACCUUUUCACGUGGCUGCCCAUUCUUCAUUGAACCUAAGCAUUAAAAUAGACAGUUUCCCCUGGGUCUUUGGGUCUUCAUUUCUGAAGACUCCAUGUCAUGUAAAACUUUGAUUAAAUAAAUGUAUCAUGCAUUACUUUUGCUAACC
This 3265-nucleotide long non-coding RNA is filed under the name Homo sapiens (human). RNAcentral describes it as "HSALNT0352532". The record is from RNAcentral. Lineage: Eukaryota; Metazoa; Chordata; Mammalia; Primates; Hominidae.